AGUGUUACCUCGGGGGGCCAAUCUGGCUGAGAUACGCGAAAGCGUGACCCGUAGAACCUGAACCGGUUAGGACCGGCGGAGGGAAGGUCUGGACCAUUUUA
This 101-nucleotide non-coding RNA is filed under the name Planktotalea frisia. Its description in RNAcentral is "TPP sequence". It matches the Rfam family "TPP riboswitch aptamer (THI element)". From Rfam's summary of the family: Vitamin B(1) in its active form thiamin pyrophosphate (TPP) is an essential coenzyme that is synthesised by coupling of pyrimidine and thiazole moieties in bacteria. The previously detected thiamin-regulatory element, thi box was extended, resulting in a new, highly conserved RNA secondary structure, the THI element, which is widely distributed in eubacteria and also occurs in some archaea. Analysis of operon structures identified a large number of new candidate thiamin-regulated genes, mostly transporters, in various prokaryotic organisms. The record is from Rfam by way of RNAcentral. Lineage: Bacteria; Pseudomonadati; Pseudomonadota; Alphaproteobacteria; Rhodobacterales; Paracoccaceae.